ACAAGUAGUCAGAGCCCGUUAAUGGGUGAUGGCGUGCCUUUUGUAGAAUGAACCGGCGAGUUACGAUUUGAUGCAAGGUUAAGCAGUAAAUGUGGAGCCGUAGCGAAAGCGAGUCUGAAUAGGGCGUUUAGUAUUUGGUCGUAGACCCGAAACCAGGUGAUCUACCCUUGGUCAGGUUGAAGUUCAGGUAACACUGAAUGGAGGACCGAACCGACUUACGUUGAAAAGUGAGCGGAUGAACUGAGGGUAGCGGAGAAAUUCCAAUCGAACCUGGAGAUAGCUGGUUCUCUCCGAAAUAGCUUUAGGGCUAGCCUCAAGUGAUGAUUAUUGGAGGUAGAGCACUGUUUGGACGAGGGGCCCCUCUCGGGUUACCGAAUUCAGACAAACUCCGAAUGCCAAUUAAUUUAACUUGGGAGUCAGAACAUGGGUGAUAAGGUCCGUGUUCGAAAGGGAAACAGCCCAGACCACCAGCUAAGGUCCCAAAAUAUAUGUUAAGUGGAAAAGGAUGUGGCGUUGCCCAGACAACUAGGAUGUUGGCUUAGAAGCAGCCAUCAUUUAAAGAGUGCGUAAUAGCUCACUAGUCGAGUGACACUGCGCCGAAAAUGUACCGGGGCUAAACAUAUUACCGAAGCUGUGGAUUGUCC
RNAcentral lists this ribosomal RNA (644 nucleotides) under Staphylococcus aureus. Its description in RNAcentral is "partial 23S ribosomal RNA". It matches the Rfam family "Bacterial large subunit ribosomal RNA", at positions 566 to 1212 of the family's 2925-position model. Lineage: Bacteria; Bacillati; Bacillota; Bacilli; Caryophanales; Staphylococcaceae. The record is from RNAcentral.